UACGGAGGGUGCAAGCGUUGCUCGGAAUUAUUGGGCGUAAAGCGUAUGUAGGCGGUUUUCUAAGUCUGAUGUGAAAUCCCGGGGCUUAACUCCGGAACUGCAUUGGAUACUGGAAAGCUAGAGGACGAUAGAGGAUGGUGGAAUUCCUGGUGUAGGGGUGAAAUCCGUAGAUAUCAGGAGGAACAUCAGUGGCGAAGGCGGCCAUCUGGAUCGUACCUGACGCUGAGAUACGAAAGCGUGGGGAGCAAACAGG
This 253-nucleotide ribosomal RNA is filed under the name uncultured bacterium. RNAcentral describes it as "partial 16S ribosomal RNA". It matches the Rfam family "Bacterial small subunit ribosomal RNA", at positions 524 to 776 of the family's 1533-position model. The record is from RNAcentral.